This 253-nucleotide ribosomal RNA is filed under the name uncultured bacterium. Its description in RNAcentral is "partial 16S ribosomal RNA". It matches the Rfam family "Bacterial small subunit ribosomal RNA", at positions 524 to 776 of the family's 1533-position model. The record is from RNAcentral.
UACGAGGGGUGCAAACGUUAUUCGGAUUUACUGGGUGUAAAGGGUGUGUAGACGGUCUGUUAAGUUCGUUGUUAAAUCUUCCGGCCUAACUGGAAGCUCGCGAUGAAAACUGGCGGACUUGAGGGUGAAAGAGAGAAGUGGAAUUCUCGGAGUAGCGGUAAAAUGCGUAGAUCUCGAGAGGAACACCGAUGGCGAAAGCAGCUUCUUGGUUCACAUCUGACGUUGAAACACGAAAGCGUGGGGAGCAAACAGG